CCGUCUGGUAUGUUUGGAUUUUUCGCAUUUUUAUCUCACCUCUGGUUGAUCUGACUUGUCAUCCUGUUUUUCUGCAUUGUCAUCGGACUCCGAAUCCCUUUGAGCUUGCAGAAAAAGUGCUGUGCACAACUAAUCCAAACAGGUUGCAGCUAAAUCGAAGGCCGCUCUAAAUGUAAAGGUGGCCAAAAUAUGUGGUCGACCGACCUUACCAAGAAAGUCGGCUCGUCAACCGAACCAGAAAAAACAAGGGGAAGUGGAAAAACUUAUUGAUCAUGUAGCCACCAAGGAGGGCGGAAUGUUCAAAAUCAGACGGAAAUUAUGGACUAAAUGAUGGUUUCUGGGAUUCAAGCCAAAAUCUGGCUUGCGACGCUUAAUAUAAAAAAGUAACAUAGCAGAAGGUUGAUGUCAAGGAGAUGCACGAAUCGACGAAGACCGCAGAGACCAGGAACGUCAGUGGAACUUGUAGUGGAUUCAGGUAUUAAUGCUGGUUCUCCGAAGUGAACGCUAGUGCCAAAGCGCAAAGCUGAGCACGUCUCGGACUCCAAAAUGGCAAGAAUGAAGCUGAAAUAAAUUCGGAGUCCGAUGACGAUGCAGAAAUUGAGGAUGACAAGGCAGCACAACCCCAGGAUGAAUACAAUUCGUCCUUGCUGUUGUAAGGGCGUGCGUACCUGCUUGAGCUGCGAACAGGACUUUCAGGAUGCAAAGACCACGCUACUGUAUCCAGGGCGAUCUGCCGACUUUAAAAGGCGCAAACAACGGCAUAUGUGCAACGGCGCUUCGAAGACGUUCCCCUGCUUCGUAUAAAUGACCAACUUGCUACUUUUGAAGGAAAGGUGCUACGCAUACCUAUGCCAAACCUCUCCCUGAUAGUUUUGUAUGGACCAGCGUGAGUCAAGCAUUAGAUGUGGCGGGCAGGUCAUCGCUAUUUUCUACCGUUUGACGAGCCCUCACCCCAGUGUCCACAUUGGAAUCACUAUCGUCCUCAUCAGUAUCCUCUUCAACGAUAUUUUUCCCAUUACUGGUGGUCAAUGUGUCGGUGUUCCUGAUCUCGGCAUUCUUACUUUUUGUUACUUUUACUUACUUUUUGAUUAGUGCAUUGCAAGCCAGAUUCUUGCUUGGUUCUCAGGAAUGAUCCUUUGAUCCAUAGUUUUCCAUCUGAUCUUGAUCAUUUCGCCCUCCUUGGUGGCUAUAUGAUCAAUAAUUUUUUUCACCUCCUCACCUUCUCUGGGUCGGUUGAAGCGUUGGCUUCUUGGUGCCGGCGGUCGGUCGACCACGUCCCUUGGCCAUCUACACACAAUUGGAGUAUGAGAAGUUUUUGGAUAAGCUACUCUUAAACUUUCUAACCGAGCUGACCUCCGAUUCGAGGAAGGUGCGGCUGCCCAUCUUGAUGUCCAUCACACACGGAUCCCGAAAGCCAGCCAGCAGAUCCUGCAGCUCAAUAAAGUGCUGUGAUUGCAUCUCCUGUAUUCCAAAGUAGGCGGGCACUAUCUGAGCGGUCUGCGGUUCCUUGCAGAUCAGUCGGUAGGCGUGUACUUCGCUAUCCUCCAGUCCUGAGAUCCGUUUGCGCACUAUUCCAGUCGAUGUGGGAACAAUGCUGCAAAAUAAGAAUAAUAGUAGCAGUUAGUAAUUUGACUAAUAAAAUGUUUAUUAAAUUGUUUUCUAAAAAAUGUAAUUUAUUUGUAAGAUUUUUACCUCUCUGGGUGACCGGAAAGCUGCAUCCAGCCCUGUGGCUUCGCCUGCUUGUGGGCCUGCUGAUGCUGGAGGAGAUGUGGCGUUGCUGGGGCACUCAGCUCUAGGGCAUUCUGGAAACAAAGGGAAAAAUGAACUUAGUAAAGGAGAACAUGAAAUACGCAUUCAUUGAUAAAUUGCAGUUAUCGCGGCUGCGAACGGGUUUGCCUCGAUCUUUUUCGCCAGAGGGAAACAUUACUGUCCGCCGGCAGCGAUUAUAAAUAAUCAAACGAAUUUUAUUUGCCAGCCGGCGGGCAGCCACGCCCAACUCACAGCCUCGUAAACGUGAAAUUUAUGCAGGCAGCUCGCCAGGCCAACCGAUCGCACAUUGUCCGAGGCUCCUGACCAGGAAGCGCUCCGGUGGAAAGUUUCUGGCCAAUUGGCACGAGACGAGUGUGCUAACAACAUGGGGUACUUACAAUGGCCAAGAACUUGAGCAGGGACAUCUGAGCCGGAUCCUGCGGCCCGUUUUGUUUGUGCUUAUAUAAAAAUGCGGAGCCACUUGAUGGGUCGUCGUGUGUGGUUUACGACCGAGAUCUUGUUGGUCUUGGGUCCGAAGUUCUGUUUUCGCCUGCCGCUCUGCGAGAUGUCCCAUGGCAGGUCAUCCAAGUCGGCUAUAAGUUGGGCGCCCUCAUCCACGCUAAGAAAUUCCUCCUGCACCAGGAUGCCAGGCAGUGGGAGGCCCUCAUCUUUUUUGUGAUUUUCAUGAUCCUUUUGGACUUGAUUGGUAUCCCAACCGGGCUGCAGAUGAUCACACUGGAUACAGUAGGACCAAGCUUCUAGUUCCUGGAAUUGCUCCUGUAGCGAGGUCUUCACUAUCUGAAAGUCCUGUUCGCAGCUCAAUCAGGUACGCACGCCCUUACAACCGCAAGGACGAAUUGUAUUCAUCCUGAAGUUGCGCAAAAACACGUUAAUAACAAACAGACUGCCAGUGUGACCGGAUGUUUAUACUAUACCGGCCUUGGUAUCGUAAUAAAAUACCAAUCAUAUGUUUGGUAAAUACUGACCAGAAUUUCGGAGUUAGUAUCUUAUUCCGUCUGUUAAGUUUGGAUUUUUCGCAUUUUUAUCUCACCUCUGGUUGAUCUGACUUGUCAUCCUGUUUUUCUGCAUUGUCAUCGGACUCCGACUCCUUUGAGCUUGCGGGAAAGGUGUUGUGCACAACUAAUCCAAACAGGUUGCAGCUAAAUCGAAGGCCGCUCUAAAUGUAAAGGUGGCCAAAAUAUGUGGUCGACCGACCUUACCAAGAAAGUCGGCUCGUCAACCGAACCAGAAAAAACAAGGGGAAGUGGAAAAACUUAUUGAUCAUGUAGCCACCAAGGAGGGCGGAAUGUUCAAAAUCAGACGGAAAUUAUGGACUAAAUGAUGGUUUCUGGGAUUCAAGCCAAAAUCUGGCUUGCGACGCUUAAUAUAAAAAAGUAACAUAGCAGAAGGUUGAUGUCAAGGAGAUGCACGAAUCGACGAAGACCGCAGAGACCAGGAACGUCAGUGGAACUUGUAGUGGAUUCAGGUAUUAAUGCUGGUUCUCCGAAGUGAACGCUAGUGCCAAAGCGCAAAGCUGAGCACGUCUCGGACUCCAAAAUGGCAAGAAUGAAGCUGAAAUAAAUUCGGAGUCCGAUGACGAUGCAGAAAUUGAGGAUGACAAGGCAGCACAACCCCAGGUGAGACAUAAAUUCGAAAAAUCAAAGCACACAAUUAGAUAUUGAACCCUCAGUUCAUUCUUCGAAAUUCUGGUCAGCAUUUACAAAACAUUGAUGGAUGAAUACAAUUCGUCCUUGCUGUUGUAAGGGCGUGCGUACCUGCUUGAGCUGCGAACAGGACUUUCAGGAUGCAAAGACCACGCUACUGUAUCCAGGGCGAUCUGCCGACUUUAAAAGGCGCAAACAACGGCAUAUGUGCAACGGCGCUUCGAAGACGUUCCCCUGCUUCGUAUAAAUGACCAACUUGCUACUUUUGAAGGAAAGGUGCUACGCAUACCUAUGCCAAACCUCUCCCUGAUAGUUUUGUAUGGACCAGCGUGAGUCAAGCAUUAGAUGUGGCGGGCAGGUCAUCGCUAUUUUCUACCGUUUGACGAGCCCUCACCCCAGUGUCCACAUUGGAAUCACUAUCGUCCUCAUCAGAAUCCUCUUCAACGAUAUUUUUCCCAUUACUGGUGGUCAAUGUGUCGGUGUUCCUGAUCUCGGCAUUCUUACUUUUUGUUACUUUUACUUACUUUUUGAUUAGUGCAUUGCAAGCCAGAUUCUUGCUUGGUUCUCAGGAAUGAUCCUUUGAUCCAUAGUUUUCCAUCUGAUCUUGAUCAUUUCGCCCUCCUUGGUGGCUAUAUGAUCAAUAAUUUUUUUCACCUCCUCACCUUCUCUGGGUCGGUUGAAGCGUUGGCUUCUUGGUGCCGGCGGUCGGUCGACCACGUCCCUUGGCCAUCUACACACAAUUGGAGUAUGAGAAGUUUUUGGAUAAGCUACUCUUAAACUUUCUAACCGAGCUGAAUCCCGAUAUUUCCAAUAUGGAACAAGGGGUUAAUAUAGGGUGGAGCUCAGCCCGGGCGAUGCGGUGAA
Drosophila simulans is the source of this 4277-nucleotide long non-coding RNA. RefSeq lists it as uncharacterized. The transcript is spliced from 9 exons. NCBI's taxonomy places the organism in Eukaryota, Metazoa, Arthropoda, Insecta, Diptera, Drosophilidae. The record is from RefSeq and is a predicted model, not a curated record.